This 494-nucleotide ribosomal RNA is filed under the name uncultured bacterium. RNAcentral's name for it is "bacterial SSU rRNA". It matches the Rfam family "Bacterial small subunit ribosomal RNA", at positions 8 to 493 of the family's 1533-position model. The record is from RNAcentral.
AGAGUUUGAUCCUGGCUCAGAUUGAACGCUGGCGGCAGGCUUAACACAUGCAAGUCGAGCGGUAACAGAGAUAGCUUGCUAUCUGCUGACGAGCGGCGGACGGGUGAGUAAUGCUUGGGAAUAUGCCUUAUGGUGGGGGACAACAGUUGGAAACGACUGCUAAUACCGCAUAACGUCUACGGACCAAAGGGGGGGAUCUUCGGACCUCUCGCCAUUUGAUUAGCCCAAGUGAGAUUAGCUAGUUGGUAAGGUAAUGGCUUACCAAGGCGACGAUCUCUAGCUGGUUUGAGAGGAUGAUCAGCCACACUGGGACUGAGACACGGCCCAGACUCCUACGGGAGGCAGCAGUGGGGAAUAUUGCACAAUGGGCGAAAGCCUGAUGCAGCCAUGCCGCGUGUGUGAAGAAGGCCUUCGGGUUGUAAAGCACUUUCAGUUGUGAGGAAAGGGGUGUAGUUAAUAGCUGCAUCCUGUGACGUUAACAACAGAAGAAGCAC